UUUCUUCUGACAAAUGAACAAGUGUUGCUUAUGCCAGGCAAGUUUAAAAGAUAGGGGGAUCAUCACUUCAGCCAUAUGCAGUGAGACUGCUACAGGGACAGCCGUACUGCAGCAUGGCCUUGCCUCCUGCUUCAGGCCAUCUGUGAGAGAUGGCAGAGGUGGGUUUGUGUUUGCUUGGGAU
RNAcentral lists this long non-coding RNA (181 nucleotides) under Junco hyemalis (dark-eyed junco). Its description in RNAcentral is "lncRNA (ENSJHYG00000017232.1)". The record is from RNAcentral. Lineage: Eukaryota; Metazoa; Chordata; Aves; Passeriformes; Passerellidae.